Molecule: ribosomal RNA, 627 nt
Filed under: Cortinarius sp. F16463
Lineage: Eukaryota; Fungi; Basidiomycota; Agaricomycetes; Agaricales; Cortinariaceae
Description: eukaryotic LSU rRNA
Rfam family: Eukaryotic large subunit ribosomal RNA
Source: RNAcentral
UGACCUCAAAUCAGGUAGGACUACCCGCUGAACUUAAGCAUAUCAAUAAGCGGAGGAAAAGAAACUAACAAGGAUUCCCCUAGUAACUGCGAGUGAAGCGGGAAAAGCUCAAAUUUAAAAUCUGGCAGUCUUUUGGCUGUCCGAGUUGUAAUCUAGAGAAGUGUUAUUCCGCGCUGGACCGUGUACAAGUCUCCUGGAAUGGAGCAUCAUAGAGGGUGAGAAUCCCGUCUUUGACAUGGACUGCCAGGGCUUUUGUGAUGCGCUCUCAAAGAGUCGAGUUGUUUGGGAAUGCAGCUCAAAAUGGGUGGUAAAUUCCAUCUAAAGCUAAAUAUUGGCGAGAGACCGAUAGCGAACAAGUACCGUGAGGGAAAGAUGAAAAGAACUUUGGAAAGAGAGUUAAACAGUACGUGAAAUUGCUGAAAGGGAAACGCUUGAAGUCAGUCGCGUCGUCCAGGGAUCAACCUUGCUUUUGCUUGGUGCAUUUUCUGGUUUGACGGGUCAGCAUCAAUUUUGAUCAUAUAUUGGAAAAAGGUCAAGGGAAUGUGGCAUCCUUGGAUGUGUUUAUAGCCCUUGGUCAAAUACAAUGGUUGGGAUUGAGGAACUCAGCAUGCUGCAAGGUGUGCUUAG